RNAcentral lists this ribosomal RNA (1247 nucleotides) under Sesame phyllody phytoplasma. RNAcentral's name for it is "bacterial SSU rRNA". It matches the Rfam family "Bacterial small subunit ribosomal RNA", at positions 153 to 1399 of the family's 1533-position model. The record is from RNAcentral. Lineage: Bacteria; Bacillati; Mycoplasmatota; Mollicutes; Acholeplasmatales; Acholeplasmataceae.
GAAACGACUGCUAAGACUGGAUAGGAAGAUAAAAGGCAUCUUUUAUCUUUUAAAAGACCUAGUAAUAGGUAUGCUUUAGGAGGGGCUUGCGCCAUAUUAGUUAGUUGGUAGGGUAAUGGCCUACCAAGACGAUGAUGUGUAGCUGGACUGAGAGGUUGAACAGCCACAUUGGGACUGAGACACGGCCCAAACUCCUACGGGAGGCAGCAGUAGGGAAUUUUCGGCAAUGGAGGAAACUCUGACCGAGCAACGCCGCGUGAAUGACGAAGUACUUCGGUAUGUAAAGUUCUUUUAUCAAGGAAGAAAAGCAAAUGGCGAACCAUUUGUUUGCCGGUACUUGAUGAAUAAGCCCCGGCUAAUUAUGUGCCAGCAGCCGCGGUAAGACAUAAGGGGCAAGUGUUAUCCGGAAUUAUUGGGCGUAAAGGGUGCGUAGGCGGUCUAGUAAGUCAGUGGUGUAAUGGCAACGCUUAACGUUGUCCGGCUAUUGAAACUGCUAAACUUGAGUUAGAUAGAGGCGAGUGGAAUUCCAUGUGUAGCGGUAAAAUGCGUAAAUAUAUGGAGGAGCACCAGAGGCGUAGGCGGCUCGCUGGGUCUUAACUGACGCUGAGGCACGAAAGCGUGGGGAGCAAACAGGAUUAGAUACCCUGGUAGUCCACGCCGUAAACGAUGAGUACUAAGUGUCGGGUUAAACCGGUACUGAAGUUAACACAUUAAGUACUCCGCCUGAGUAGUACGAACGCAAGUAUGAAACUUAAAGGAAUUGACGGGACUCCGCACAAGCGGUGGAUCAUGUUGUUUAAUCCGAAGAUACCCGAAAAACCUUACCAGGUCUUGACAUGUUUUUGCAAAAUGAUAGUAAUAUCGUGGAGGUUACCAGAAACACAGGUGGUGCAUGGUUGUCGUCAGCUCGUGUCGUGAGAUGUUAGGUUAAGUCCUAAAACGAGCGAAACCCUUAUCGUUAGUUGCCAGCACGUUAUGGUGGGGACUUUAACGAGACUGCCAAUGAUAAAUUGGAGGAAGGUGAGGAUCACGUCAAAUCAGCAUGCCCCUUAUGACCUGGGCUACAAACGUGAUACAAUGGCUGUUACAAAGGGUAGCUGAAACGCAAGUUCUUGGCCAAUCCCCAAAAACAGUCCCAGUCCGGAUUGAAGUCUGCAACUCGACUUCAUGAAGUUGGAAUCGCUAGUAAUCGCGAAUCAGCAUGUCGCGGUGAAUACGUUCCCCGGGUUUGUACACACCGCCCGUCA